AUUCCAGAGGGGAGAGCAAAAGAUUAUAUUAAGGACUUUGGUUGCCAAAAAUCAUAAAAAUGCAAACUUCACAUGAAACUGACCUUCCUAUUCACAAUCAAACACAUUUGUCAUCCAAAACUUAUCACGUUCAGAUAAAAGAGAAAAAAAAUGAAACUUCAAAAGAAUAGACCAAAUCGACCUUGUCUCUAUCAUCAAUUCCAUCCCCAGAAUUACC
This 217-nucleotide unclassified non-coding RNA is filed under the name Hevea brasiliensis (rubber tree). The record is from RNAcentral. Lineage: Eukaryota; Viridiplantae; Streptophyta; Magnoliopsida; Malpighiales; Euphorbiaceae.